Molecule: ribosomal RNA, 2209 nt
Filed under: Salmonella enterica subsp. enterica serovar Newport
Lineage: Bacteria; Pseudomonadati; Pseudomonadota; Gammaproteobacteria; Enterobacterales; Enterobacteriaceae
Description: partial 23S ribosomal RNA
Rfam family: Bacterial large subunit ribosomal RNA
Source: RNAcentral
GGGUUGUGAGGUUAAGCGACUAAGCGUACACGGUGGAUGCCCUGGCAGUCAGAGGCGAUGAAGGGCGUGCUAAUCUGCGAUAAGCGCCGGUAAGGUGAUAUGAACCGUUAUAACCGGCGAUACCCGAAUGGGGAAACCCAGUGUGAUUCGUCACACUAUCAUUAACUGAAUCCAUAGGUUAAUGAGGCGAACCGGGGGAACUGAAACAUCUAAGUACCCCGAGGAAAAGAAAUCAACCGAGAUUCCCCCAGUAGCGGCGAGCGAACGGGGAGGAGCCCAGAGCCUGAAUCAGCAUGUGUGUUAGUGGAAGCGUCUGGAAAGGCGCGCGAUACAGGGUGACAGCCCCGUACACAAAAGCGCAUGUGCUGUGAGCUCGAUGAGUAGGGCGGGACACGUGGUAUCCUGUCUGAAUAUGGGGGGACCAUCCUCCAAGGCUAAAUACUCCUGACUGACCGAUAGUGAACCAGUACCGUGAGGGAAAGGCGAAAAGAACCCCGGCGAGGGGAGUGAAAAAGAACCUGAAACCGUGUACGUACAAGCAGUGGGAGCACAGGUUUACCUGUGUGACUGCGUACCUUUUGUAUAAUGGGUCAGCGACUUAUAUUCUGUAGCAAGGUUAACCGAAUAGGGGAGCCGGAGGGAAACCGAGUCUUAAUUGGGCGUUAAGUUGCAGGGUAUAGACCCGAAACCCGGUGAUCUAGCCAUGGGCAGGUUGAAGGUUGGGUAACACUAACUGGAGGACCGAACCGACUAAUGUUGAAAAAUUAGCGGAUGACCUGUGGCUGGGGGUGAAAGGCCAAUCAAACCGGGAGAUAGCUGGUUCUCCCCGAAAGCUAUUUAGGUAGCGCCUCGUGAACUCAUCUCCGGGGGUAGAGCACUGUUUCGGCUAGGGGGCCAUCCCGGCUUACCAACCCGAUGCAAACUGCGAAUACCGGAGAAUGUUAUCACGGGAGACACACGGCGGGUGCUAACGUCCGUCGUGAAGAGGGAAACAACCCAGACCGCCAGCUAAGGUCCCAAAGUCAUGGUUAAGUGGGAAACGAUGUGGGAAGGCCCAGACAGCCAGGAUGUUGGCUUAGAAGCAGCCAUCAUUUAAAGAAAGCGUAAUAGCUCACUGGUCGAGUCGGCCUGCGCGGAAGAUGUAACGGGGCUAAACCAUGCACCGAAGCUGCGGCAGCGAACGUAUCACUUAAAGCGAUUCAGCGGGUUACGAUUGACGGAGCGAAGCGACGUCAAAGCGUAUACAAAGUCGAGUCGGUUUAAGGAUACGUUCGUUGGGUAGGGGAGCGUUCUGUAAGCCUGUGAAGGUGGCCUGUGAGGGUUGCUGGAGGUAUCAGAAGUGCGAAUGCUGACAUAAGUAACGAUAAAGCGGGUGAAAAGCCCGCUCGCCGGAAGACCAAGGGUUCCUGUCCAACGUUAAUCGGGGCAGGGUGAGUCGACCCCUAAGGCGAGGCCGAAAGGCGUAGUCGAUGGGAAACGGGUUAAUAUUCCCGUACUUGGUGUUACUGCGAAGGGGGGACGGAGAAGGCUAUGUUGGCCGGGCGACGGUUGUCCCGGUUUAAGCGUGUAGGUGUGUGUUCCAGGUAAAUCCGGUUCACUUUAACACUGAGGCGUGAUGACGAGGCACUACGGUGCUGAAGCAACAAAUGCCCUGCUUCCAGGAAAAGCCUCUAAGCAUCAGGUAACAUCAAAUCGUACCCCAAACCGACACAGGUGGUCAGGUAGAGAAUACCAAGGCGCUUGAGAGAACUCGGGUGAAGGAACUAGGCAAAAUGGUGCCGUAACUUCGGGAGAAGGCACGCUGACACGUAGGUGAAGUGAUUUACUCACGGAGCUGAAGUCAGUCGAAGAUACCAGCUGGCUGCAACUGUUUAUUAAAAACACAGCACUGUGCAAACACGAAAGUGGACGUAUACGGUGUGACGCCUGCCCGGUGCCGGAAGGUUAAUUGAUGGGGUCAGCGCAAGCGAAGCUCCUGAUCGAAGCCCCGGUAAACGGCGGCCGUAACUAUAACGGUCCUAAGGUAGCGAAAUUCCUUGUCGGGUAAGUUCCGACCUGCACGAAUGGCGUAAUGAUGGCCAGGCUGUCUCCACCCGAGACUCAGUGAAAUUGAACUCGCUGUGAAGAUGCAGUGUACCCGCGGCAAGACGGAAAGACCCCGUGAACCUUUACUAUAGCUUGACACUGAACAUUGAGCCUUGAUGUGUAG